Molecule: transfer RNA, 63 nt
Filed under: Phaedon tumidulus
Lineage: Eukaryota; Metazoa; Arthropoda; Insecta; Coleoptera; Chrysomelidae
Description: tRNA-Phe
Source: RNAcentral
AUUUAAGUAGCUUAAAAAGAGCAUAGCAGUGAAGAUGCUAGGGUAAUAGUAUAUUCUUAAAUA